This 27-nucleotide non-coding RNA is filed under the name Rattus norvegicus (Norway rat). The record is from RNAcentral. Lineage: Eukaryota; Metazoa; Chordata; Mammalia; Rodentia; Muridae.
UGUGGCAGCAAGUUUCACGAUGGAACC